RNAcentral lists this ribosomal RNA (491 nucleotides) under uncultured bacterium. RNAcentral describes it as "partial 16S ribosomal RNA". It matches the Rfam family "Bacterial small subunit ribosomal RNA", at positions 29 to 507 of the family's 1533-position model. The record is from RNAcentral.
GUGAACGCUGGCGGUAGGCCUAACACCUGCAAGUCGAACGGCAGCACCGUAAGAGCUUGCUCUUACGGGUGGCGAGUGGCGGACGGGUGAGGAAUACAUCGGAAUCUACUUUUUCGUGGGGGAUAACGUAGGGAAACUUACGCUAAUACCGCAUACGACCUACGGGUGAAAGCAGGGGAUCUUCGGACCUUGCGCGACUGAAUGAGCCGAUGUCGGAUUAGCUAGUUGGCGGGGUAAAGGCCCACCAAGGCGACGAUCCGUAGCUGGUCUGAGAGGAUGAUCAGCCACACUGGAACUGAGACACGGUCCAGACUCCUACGGGAGGCAGCAGUGGGGAAUAUUGGACAAUGGGCGCAAGCCUGAUCCAGCCAUACCGCGUGGGUGAAGAAGGCCUUCGGGUUGUAAAGCCCUUUUGUUGGGAAAGAAAAGCAGCAGGUUAAUACCCCGCUGUUCUGACGGUACCCAAAGAAUAAGCACCGGCUAACUUCGUG